Molecule: ribosomal RNA, 531 nt
Filed under: Platyspathius sp. 1 AZR-2017
Lineage: Eukaryota; Metazoa; Arthropoda; Insecta; Hymenoptera; Braconidae
Description: eukaryotic LSU rRNA
Source: RNAcentral
AGAUUCAUCGUCAGCGCAUUUUGUAUAUGUAUAAGUUGUGAUACGGGUUACUCUUGUAGUAUUGCCUGUACAUUCUUUUACAUUUUGUUGCAAGAUGUUGUCGGCGUGCACUUCUCCCCUAGUAGGACGUCGCGACCCGUUGGGUGUCGGUCUACGGCCCAAAUGGUAGUCUUUAAUGUUUCAAUACGUUAAAGACCUUUGGUGUUUUCUGACCGACUGCUCGGCGGUACUCAUACGGUAUUAAGCCGCAUAUUAAUAUGCGUCCAUACCCGUCGCAAGCGAGGUUAGUUUUUGGUAGUACGGACCUAGCGCCGUCGCUGAAACUGACCAGCUGUUGGCCGUACGGUGUUCUAGGACUGGCUAAAGAUAUUACCGGUCGGCGAUGCUACUGCUUUGGGUACUUUCAGGACCCGUCUUGAAACACGGACCAAGGAGUCUAACAUGUGCGCGAGUCAUUGGGGAUUUUUUAAAAAAUUAAACCUAAAGGCGUAAUGAAAGUAAAGGUUGUCCUUGCGUCAACCGAGGGAGGAU